UCCACCGUGAGGUGGAAUCUGAAGGAAGCCUAAGGCAAAAUCCUGAACUGACGAACAGAAACUGUAUAUAAGGCUGAAUUGGAACGGAUGAGUUUGCAUUACAAAACGAAGUCCUAUACUGCACGAAUUCCAUACAGUAAAUACAGCAGUUAUAUGGGAGGAAGGUUAUAGCU
RNAcentral lists this non-coding RNA (173 nucleotides) under Piscibacillus halophilus. The record is from RNAcentral. Lineage: Bacteria; Bacillati; Bacillota; Bacilli; Caryophanales; Bacillaceae.